RNAcentral lists this ribosomal RNA (465 nucleotides) under uncultured bacterium. RNAcentral's name for it is "partial 16S ribosomal RNA". It matches the Rfam family "Bacterial small subunit ribosomal RNA", at positions 28 to 507 of the family's 1533-position model. The record is from RNAcentral.
GACGAACGCUGGCGGCGUGCUUAACACAUGCAAGUCGAACGGAAAGGCCCCUUUGGGGGUAUUCGAGUGGCGAACGGGUGAGUAACACGUGAGUAACCUGCCCUUGACUUCGGGAUAACUUCAGGAAACUGGGGCUAAUACCGGAUAGGAAUCCUUGCUGCAUGGUGGGGGUUGGAAAGCUUCGGCGGUUUUGGAUGGACUCGCGGCUUAUCAGCUUGUUGGUGGGGUAGUGGCUUACCAAGGCUUUGACGGGUAGCCGGCCUGAGAGGGCGACCGGCCACAUUGGGACUGAGAUACGGCCCAGACUCCUACGGGAGGCAGCAGUGGGGAAUAUUGCACAAUGGGCGGAAGCCUGAUGCAGCAACGCCGCGUGCGGGAUGACGGCCUUCGGGUUGUAAACCGCUUUCAGCAGGGGCGAAGCUUGUGGUGACGGUACCUGCAGAAGAAGCACCGGCUAACUACGUG